This 404-nucleotide ribosomal RNA is filed under the name uncultured bacterium. Its description in RNAcentral is "bacterial SSU rRNA". It matches the Rfam family "Bacterial small subunit ribosomal RNA", at positions 355 to 775 of the family's 1533-position model. The record is from RNAcentral.
UGGGGAAUAUUGCGCAAUGGGGGAAACCCUGACGCAGCAACGCCGCGUGAGUGAUGAAGGCUUUCGAGUCGUAAAACUCUGUCUUUGGGGACGAAUAAUGACGGUACCCAAGGAGGAAGCCCCGGCUAACUACGUGCCAGCAGCCGCGGUAAUACGUAGGGGGCAAGCGUUGUCCGGAAUCACUGUGCGUAAAGGGCGCGUAGGCGGUUUGUUAAGUCAGGUGUGAAAGUUUUCAGCUUAACUGGAAAAGUGCACUUGAAACUAAAUUACUUGAGUACUGGAGAGGUAAGCGGAAUUCCUAGUGUAGCGGUGAAAUGCGUAGAUAUUAGGAAGAACACCGGUGGCGAAGGCGGCUUACUGGACAGAGACUGACGCUGAGGCGCGAAAGCGUGGGGAGCGAACAG